RNAcentral lists this ribosomal RNA (497 nucleotides) under uncultured bacterium. RNAcentral's name for it is "partial 16S ribosomal RNA". It matches the Rfam family "Bacterial small subunit ribosomal RNA", at positions 28 to 507 of the family's 1533-position model. The record is from RNAcentral.
GAUGAACGCUGGCGGCGUGCCUAAUACAUGCAAGUCGAGCGAACAGACGAGGAGCUUGCUCCUCUGACGUUAGCGGCGGACGGGUGAGUAACACGUGGAUAACCUACCUAUAAGACUGGGAUAACUUCGGGAAACCGGAGCUAAUACCGGAUAAUAUAUUGAACCGCAUGGUUCAAUAGUGAAAGACGGUUUUGCUGUCACUUAUAGAUGGAUCCGCGCCGCAUUAGCUAGUUGGUAAGGUAACGGCUUACCAAGGCAACGAUGCGUAGCCGACCUGAGAGGGUGAUCAGCCACACUGGAACUGAGACACGGUCCAGACUCCUACGGGAGGCAGCAGUAGGGAAUCUGCGGCAAUGGGCGAAAGCCUGACGGAGCAACGCCGCGUGAGUGAUGAAGGUCUUCGGAUCGUAAAACUCUGUUAUUAGGGAAGAACAAAUGUGUAAGAAACUAUGCACGUCUUGACGGUACCUAAACAGAAAGCCCCGGCUAACUACGUG